GGUCAAGCUACUAAGGGCGCACGGGGGAUGUCUUGGCGUCAGAAGGCGAUGAAGGGCGUGGAAGGCUGCGAAAAGCCUGGGGGAGCCGUCAAACAGGCAUUGAUCCCGGGAUCCCUGAAUCAACGUAGACUGAAUACAUAGGUCUACGUGGCGAACGUGGGGAACUGAAACAUCUAAGUACCCAUAGGAAAAGAAAGAAAACUCGACUCCCUGAGUAGCGGCGAGCGAAACGGGAUCUAGCCCAAACCAGGUGCUACGGUAUCUGGGGUUGUGGGGCCAGUGUUAGGGUUACAAAACAGGUGAUUAAGAGAACCGGAUCGGAAAGCCGGACCAAAGUGGGUGAUAGUCCCGUAUCUGAAAAUCAACCUGUCCCGUUAUGCACUGGUACCCGAGUAAGUCUCGGCACGUGAAACCGAGACCGAAUCUGCGGGGCCCAUCCCGUAAGGCUAAGCACUCUCUGACGACCGAUAGUGAAUUUAGUAGCGCGAGCGAACGAUGAAAAGAACCCCGAAAGGGGAGGGAAAGACCCUGAAACCGUGUGCCUACAAGCUGUCGGAGCUCGCAAGAGUGACGGCGUGCCUAUUGAAUAAUGAUCCGGCGAGUUAUUGUCACUGGCUGGCUAAAGUCUUCAGGACUGGAGCCUAAGGGAAACCGAGUCUGAAUAGGGCGUAAAUGGUCAGUGGGAAUAGACGCGAAUCUUAGCGAACUACGCAUGGGCAGGUUGAAGCGCGGGUAAGACUGCGUGGAGGACCGAACUCACUGAUGUUGAAAAAUCAGGGGAUGACCUGUGUGGAGGAUUAAAAGUAUCAUCAAGCUGAGGGAUAGCUCGUUCUCUCCGAAAUAACUUUAGGGUUAGCCUCGUGCAACUAUGCCGUGGGGGUAGAGAGACUGAACUGGGUCGAGGGCUCACAAGGCUACUCGCCCUGACCAAACUCCGAAUACUACGGUAACUAUCACGGGAGGUAGUCUCUGAGGGAGAAGCUUCAGAGUCGAGAGGGAAACAACCCAGAUCGUCUGCUAAGGCCCCAAAGUUUGACUCAGUCACAAAGGAUGUCCGAUUGCGGUGACAGCCGGGAUGUUGGCUUAGAAGCAGCCACCAUUUAAAAAGUGCGUAAUAGCUUACCGGUCGAGCAGUCGUGCACCGAUAAUGAACGGGAGUAAGUCAGACGCCGAAGCAGCGGGAUCCGCAAGGAUCGGUAGGAGAGCGUUCCGUGCCAGCAAGUGAAACCGUAAGGUUUCGUAUAGGGGCCCGGAAGUGUUUAUGCCGGAAUGAGUAACGAUAAGACAAGUGAGAAGCUUGUCCGCCGCAAGCCUAAGGUUUCCUGGGGAAGGUAAUUCCGCCCAGGGUCAGCCGGUACCUUAGCCGAGGCCGAAGGGCGUAGGCGAUGGAUAACAGGUUAAUAUUCCUGUGCUGACUUGUGGACCGAUGGGGGGACGUUGUGUGAAUGGUGAGCGGGCGGUUAGAAGUGCCCGUCGGGGUAUUCAAGGCUGCGGAGUGGUAAAUCCGCCGCGUCUGCCGAGAAUAUUUCGUGAGUCCCUGGUUGAUGAAAUCAUCUGAAGCAUAACCAAGAAAAGCCUCUAGGGUUGAAGCAAGCAACCGUACUAAAACCGACACAGGUAGGCGAGGCGAGUAGCCUAAGGCGCGCGGGAGAACGGUGGUUAAGGAACUCUGCAAAUUUUCCCCGUAACUUCGGGAUAAGGGGCGCCUUGCGAUGUGUUAAAGCAUUGCGAGGCCGCAGGAAUUGGCUCUAGCGACUGUUUAUCAAAAACACAGGACACUGCGAACUCGCAAGAGGAUGUAUAGUGUCUGACGCCUGCUCGGUGCCGGUAAGUUAAGGAAGAGGGUGAGGCGCAAGCUGAAGCCCGCAACCGAAGCUCCGGUAAACGGCGGCCCUAACUAUGAGGGUCCUAAGGUAGCGAAGUUCCUUGUCGGGUAAGUUCCGACCUGCAUGAAUGGCGUAACGACUGGAGCACUGUCUCAACCACCGACCCGGUGAAGUUGUAGCCGUGGUGAAGAUGCCACGUUCCCGCACCGUGACGGAAAGACCCCAUGAACCUUUACUGCAGGCUGGUAUUGGUAUUAGACAUGUCUUGUGUAGGAUAGGUGGGAGGCUUCGAAGAGGGGGCGCUAGCUCUCUCAGAGCCGUCGUUGAAAUACCACCCUGGGCCUGUUUGAUAUCUAACCCUGUCCCGUGAAUCCGGGCAGUGGACAGUGCCAGUUGGGCAGUUUGACUGGGGCGGUCUCCUCCAAAAAGGUAACGGAGGAGCCCAAAGGUACCCUCAGCCUGGUUGGCAAUCAGGCGAAGAGCGUAAAGGUAGAAGGGUGCUUGACUGCGAGACCUACAAGUCGAGCAGAGACGAAAGUCGGGCUUAGUGAUCCGGCGGUUCCGAAUGGAAGGGCCGUCGCUCAACGGAUAAAAGGUACUCUGGGGAUAACAGGCUGAUCCCACCCGAGCGUCCAUAGCGGCGGUGGGGUUUGGCACCUCGAUGUCGGCUCAUCACAUCCUGGGGGUGGAGAAGCUCCCAAGGGUUCGGCUGUUCGCCGAUUAAAGUGGUACGUGAGCUGGGUUCAGACCGUCGUGAGACAGGUCGGUCCCUAUCUGGUGUGGGCGUACGAGACUUGAGGGAGUUUUUCUUUAGUACGAGAGGAUUUGGAAGGACGGACCUAUGGUGUCCCUGUUGUCCCGCUCGGGGCAGUGCAGGGUAGCCACGUCCGGUUUGGAUAAGUGCUGAAAGCAUCUAAGCACGAAGCCAGUCCCAAGAUAAGGUCUCGAUGAGUCCCCUGGAAGACGACCAGGUUGAUAGGCCAGACGUGUAAGGUGGGUAACCAUCUCAGCUGACUGGUACUAACGGACGAUUGCUUGAUCAU
This is a ribosomal RNA of Planctomyces sp. SH-PL14, 2869 nucleotides long. It matches the Rfam family "Bacterial large subunit ribosomal RNA". The record is from Rfam. NCBI's taxonomy places the organism in Bacteria, Pseudomonadati, Planctomycetota, Planctomycetia, Planctomycetales, Planctomycetaceae.